Molecule: ribosomal RNA, 458 nt
Filed under: uncultured bacterium
Lineage: Bacteria
Description: partial 16S ribosomal RNA
Rfam family: Bacterial small subunit ribosomal RNA
Source: RNAcentral
CCUACGGGUGGCAGCAGUGGGGAAUAUUGCACAAUGGAGGAAACUCUGAUGCAGCGACGCCGCGUGCAGGAAGAAGGAAUUCGUUACGUAAAGCUCUAUCAGCAGGGAAGAAAUACUGACCUUACGGUCAGCAGACGGUACCUGAGUAAGAAGCCACGGCUAACUACGUGCCAGCAGCCGCGGUAGUUCGUAGGGGGCAAGCGUUAUCCGGAUUGACUGGGUGGAAAGGGAGCGUAGACGGGGCGUCAAGUCUGCAGUGAAAUGCCGCAGCUUAACUGCGGAACUGCUUUGGAAACUGGCGAAGUAGAGGGCGGAGAGGGUAAGCGGAAUUCGUGGUGUAGCGGUGAAAUGCGUAGAUAUUAGGAGGAACACCGGUGGCGAAGGCGGCUUACUGGACCGUAACUGACGUUGAGGCUCGAAAGCGUGGGGAGCAAACAGGAUUAGAUACCCGAGUAGUC